UUUUUGAUAAAUAAUUUAAAGUCUAAUCUGCCCACUGAUAAAAUAUUAAAGGGCUGCAGUAUUUUGACUGUACAAAGGUAGCAUAAUCAUUAGUCUCUUAAUUGGUGACUUGUAUGAAAGAUUUAAUGAGAUAUAUACUGUCUCUUUUUAAUUUAUAAAAUUUAAUUUUUUAGUUAAAAAGCUAAAAUGUAUUUAAAAGACGAGAAGACCCUAUAGAGUUUAAUAUUUAAUUGAAUUAAAAUUUUUUAUAAGAUUUAAAAUUUUAAUUUAAUUAAAUAUUUUAUUGGGGUGAUAAAAAAAUUAAAAAAACUUUUUUUAUAAAUUUACAUUAAUAAAUGGGUAAAUGAUCCGUAAUUUACGAUUAAAAGAAAAAAUUACCUUAGGGAUAACAGCGUAAUUUUUUUUUUUAGUUCAAAUAAGAAAAAAAGUUUGCGACCUCGAUGUUGGAUUAAGAUAAAAUUUAAAUGCAAAAGUUUAAAAUUUUUGAUCUGUUCGAUCAUUAAAAUCUUACA
RNAcentral lists this ribosomal RNA (512 nucleotides) under Parnassius autocrator. RNAcentral describes it as "partial 16S ribosomal RNA". It matches the Rfam family "Bacterial large subunit ribosomal RNA", at positions 1830 to 2600 of the family's 2925-position model. Lineage: Eukaryota; Metazoa; Arthropoda; Insecta; Lepidoptera; Papilionidae. The record is from RNAcentral.